RNAcentral lists this transfer RNA (76 nucleotides) under Metamycoplasma arthritidis. Its description in RNAcentral is "Mycoplasma arthritidis tRNA-Met(cat)". It matches the Rfam family "tRNA". From Rfam's summary of the family: Transfer RNA (tRNA) molecules are approximately 80 nucleotides in length. Their secondary structure includes four short double-helical elements and three loops (D, anti-codon, and T loops). Further hydrogen bonds mediate the characteristic L-shaped molecular structure. tRNAs have two regions of fundamental functional importance: the anti-codon, which is responsible for specific mRNA codon recognition, and the 3' end, to which the tRNAs corresponding amino acid is attached (by aminoacyl-tRNA synthetases). tRNAs cope with the degeneracy of the genetic code in two manners: having more than one tRNA (with a specific anti-codon) for a particular amino acid; and 'wobble' base-pairing, i.e. permitting non-standard base-pairing at the 3rd anti-codon position. RNAcentral also lists the same sequence under 1 other name. Lineage: Bacteria; Bacillati; Mycoplasmatota; Mycoplasmoidales; Metamycoplasmataceae. The record is from RNAcentral.
GGACCCAUAGCUCAACGGUUAGAGCAACCGGCUCAUAACCGGUCGGCUACAGGUUCGAGUCCUGUUGGGUCCACCA